RNAcentral lists this non-coding RNA (243 nucleotides) under Erysipelothrix larvae. RNAcentral describes it as "T-box sequence". It matches the Rfam family "T-box leader". From Rfam's summary of the family: Uncharged tRNA acts as the effector for transcription antitermination of genes in the T-box leader family. T-boxes are found upstream of many aminoacyl-tRNA synthetase genes and some amino acid biosynthetic genes usually in Gram-positive bacteria. Lineage: Bacteria; Bacillati; Bacillota; Erysipelotrichia; Erysipelotrichales; Erysipelotrichaceae. The record is from RNAcentral.
UUAAAUGCAAUGAAAAGAAGAGUACGCAUGUUAAGGGUUUUAUAGAGAGUCUUGGUUUUGGUGAAACAAGAUAAACACAACAUGACGGAAGAUGGCCUUGGAGCAGGAUUGUUGAGUUUAAGGAUUAGACAAUCUCGGGUAUGCCCGUUAUCGCAUCUAAAGUAGUCAAAUACUUUGUGAGGUAUAUACUGUGAAGUAUGUAUAAAUUAAGGUGGUAACAUGAGAAGCACGCUCAUCCUUAGG